CGCGGGGUGGAGCAGUCUGGUAGCUCGUUGGGCUCAUAACCCAAAGGCCGCAGGUUCAAAUCCUGCCCCCGCUACUA
Molecule: transfer RNA, 77 nt
Filed under: Candidatus Zhuqueibacterota bacterium
Lineage: Bacteria; Pseudomonadati
Description: candidate division KSB1 bacterium tRNA-Met
Rfam family: tRNA
About the family: Transfer RNA (tRNA) molecules are approximately 80 nucleotides in length. Their secondary structure includes four short double-helical elements and three loops (D, anti-codon, and T loops).
Source: RNAcentral